GCUUACGGCCAUACCACCCUGAACACGCCCGAUCUCGUCCGAUCUCGGAAGCUAAGCAGGGCCUGGUUAGUACUUGGAUGGGAGACCGCCUGGGAAUACCAGGUGCUGUAAGCU
This 114-nucleotide ribosomal RNA is filed under the name Labrus bergylta (ballan wrasse). Lineage: Eukaryota; Metazoa; Chordata; Actinopteri; Labriformes; Labridae. The record is from RNAcentral.